GACAGAGGGUGCAAACGUUGUUCGGAAUUACUGGGCGUAAAGCGCGUGUAGGCGGCCAUGCAAGUCGGAUGUGAAAGCCCCCGGCUCAACCGGGGAACGGCGCGGGAAACUAGCAGGCUUGAGUUCGGGAGAGGGAAGCGGAAUUCCGGGUGUAGCGGUGAAAUGCGCAGAUAUCCGGAGGAACACCGGUGGCGAAGGCGGCUUCCUGGACCGACACUGACGCUGAGGCGCGAAAGCUAGGGGAGCAAACGGG
RNAcentral lists this ribosomal RNA (253 nucleotides) under uncultured bacterium. RNAcentral's name for it is "partial 16S ribosomal RNA". It matches the Rfam family "Bacterial small subunit ribosomal RNA", at positions 524 to 776 of the family's 1533-position model. The record is from RNAcentral.